UACGUAGGUGGCAAGCGUUGUCCGGAUUUAUUGGGCGUAAAGCGAGCGCAGGCGGUUCUUUAAGUCUGAUGUGAAAGCCCACGGCUCAACCGUGGAAGGUCAUUGGAAACUGGGGAACUUGAAUGCAGAAGAGGAGAGUGGAAUUCCAUGUGUAGCGGUGAAAUGCGUAGAUAUAUGGAGGAACACCAGUGGCGAAGGCGACUCUCUGGUCUGUUAUUGACGCUGAGGCUCGAAAGCGUGGGGAGCGAACAGGAUUAGA
Molecule: ribosomal RNA, 259 nt
Filed under: uncultured prokaryote
Description: partial 16S ribosomal RNA
Rfam family: Bacterial small subunit ribosomal RNA
Source: RNAcentral